GGUGACCUGCGGAAGGAUCAUUACUGAAAUGUAAUAACUUCUAUUGAAAGGUUCCAGAGUAGGCGCUACAACGCCGAAAUGACCUUCUCACCCUUGUGUACUCACUAUGUUGCUUUGGCGGGUCGACCUGGUUCCGACCCAGGCGGCCGGCGCCCCCAGCCUUAACUGGCCAGGACGCCCGGCUAAGUGCCCGCCAGUAUACAAAACUCAAGAAUUCAUUUUGUGAAGUCCUGAUAUAUCAUUUAAUUGAUUAAAACUUUCAACAACGGAUCUCUUGGUUCUGGCAUCGAUGAAGAACGCAGCGAAAUGCGAUAAGUAAUGUGAAUUGCAGAAUUCAGUGAAUCAUCGAAUCUUUGAACGCACAUUGCGCCCUCUGGUAUUCCGGAGGGCAUGCCUGUUCGAGCGUCAUUUCAACCCUCAAGCUCUGCUUGGUAUUGGGCAACGUCCGCUGCCGGACGUGCCUUGAAGACCUCGGCGACGGCGUCCUAGCCUCGAGCGUAGUAGUAAAAUAUCUCGCUUUGGAGUGCUGGGCGACGGCCGCCGGACAAUCGACCUUCGGUCUAUUUUUCCAAGGUUGACCUCGGAUCAGGUAGGGAUACCCGCUGAACUUAAGCAUAUCAAUAAGCGGAGGAAAAGAAACCAACAGGGAUUGCC
This 654-nucleotide ribosomal RNA is filed under the name fungal endophyte. RNAcentral's name for it is "eukaryotic LSU rRNA". The stretch from base 255 to 408 matches the Rfam family "5.8S ribosomal RNA". The record is from RNAcentral. Lineage: Eukaryota; Fungi.